AUGGCAUUUAUUUUUAUUCAGUUUCUUCUCAAGAUGAAGAUAACUCUUUGUAAAUGCCCUAAAGUCACGUCU
This 72-nucleotide non-coding RNA is filed under the name Aotus nancymaae (Ma's night monkey). The record is from RNAcentral. Lineage: Eukaryota; Metazoa; Chordata; Mammalia; Primates; Aotidae.